Long non-coding RNA from Drosophila novamexicana, 436 nucleotides. RefSeq lists it as uncharacterized. The record is from RefSeq and is a predicted model, not a curated record. NCBI's taxonomy places the organism in Eukaryota, Metazoa, Arthropoda, Insecta, Diptera, Drosophilidae. The transcript is spliced from 3 exons.
UUUGUACACCAAAAACAAUAUAUUUAGCAAAAAUAAAAAAACGAAAAUUCUAAAUUAUUUAGUUUUUAGCCAUGAUUCGAAUUUCCAGCUGUUUGCCCGUUGUGCUGAAAAAAAUGUACAAUUCAAAGAUGCGUGAAAAAAAGCGAAAAGUCAAUCCAGCCAAUUCCGUAUAUAUUUUAGAGCGAAUUUUAAAAUUCCUUAAGGAGAAUCAAAUUUAUUCGCAAAGUUUUACCAACCAGAUCUUUGAUCAUAAUUGCAUUGAAUCUAAAUAGUAUUGAAAUCCCGUUAUCAGGAACACCUGUGAUCUUUAUUGUGUUAAGAGUAUUUCGCGUUUCUUUUGGUUACUUGCAGUGUAUUUUUUGAUUUUCUUUUACUUUUACAUCUAAAUCAAACUGUAUGUAUACAUGUAAAAGCAAUGGAAAAUAUUUAAAUACAG